AUGUAAAUUUUUGUGUGAAAUUUUAUUUAUUUUAAUAAUAAAUAAAUUUUGUAAUAGUCGCAGUAAUUAGUAUUAUUAAUUAAAGAAAUUUAGAAAUAGUAAUGUUAGUGAGUAUUGGCUAAAUUCGUGCCAGCAGUCGCGGUUAUACGAAUAAUACAAAUAAAUUUUUUUUAGUAAGAGUUAAAUGUAAUUAAUAAUUAAAUAUAAAUAUAAAUUUAUUAGGUGAAAUUUUAAAUUUGUUAAGUUUUAAAAAUAAAAUUAAUUGAAGCAUGAAAAUUUUAAUUAUAAACUAGGAUUAGAUACCCUAUUAUUUAAAAUUUAAAUUAUUUACUAAAGUAGUAUUAGUUAUGUUCUUGAAACUUAAAAAAUUUGGCGGUAUUUUAGUCUAUUCAGAGGAACUUGUUCUGUAAUUGAUAAUCCACGAUGGACCUUACUUAAGUUUGUAAAUCAGUUUAUAUACCGUCGUUAUUAGAAUAUUUUAUUAGAAUAAUAAUUUUCUAGAUUUUUAAUUAAAAUUUAUAUCAGAUCAAGGUGUAGCUUAUGUUUAAGUAGAAAUGAGUUACAAUAAGUUUAUUAUAUACGGAAAUGAAAAUGAAAAAUUUAUAGAAGGUGGAUUUGAUAGUAAAAUUAUAAAGAUUAAUAAUUUGAUUUUAGCUCUAAAAUAUGCACAUAUCGCCCGUCGCUCUUAUUAUUAAGGUAAGAUAAGUCGUAACAUAGUAGAUGUACUGGAAAGUGUAUCUAGAAUG
Molecule: non-coding RNA, 746 nt
Filed under: Eurygnathomyia bicolor
Lineage: Eukaryota; Metazoa; Arthropoda; Insecta; Diptera; Pallopteridae
Source: RNAcentral